CCUACGGGAGGCAGCAGUAGGGAAUCUUCCACAAUGGGCGAAAGCCUGAUGGAGCAACGCCGCGUGGGUGAAGAAGGUCUUCGGAUCGUAAAACCCUGUUGUUAGAGAAGAAAGUGCGUGAGAGUAACUGUUCACGUUUCGACGGUAUCUAACCAGAAAGCCACGGCUAACUACGUGCCAGCAGCCGCGGUAAUCCGUAGGUGGAAAGGGUUAUCCGGAUUUUUUGGGCGUAAAGGGAACGCAGGCGGUCUUUUAAGUCUGAUGUGAAAGCCUUCGGCUUAACCGGAGUAGUGCAUUGGAAACUGGGAGACUUGAGUGCAGAAGAGGAGAGUGGAACUCCAUGUGUAGCGGUGAAAUGCGUAGAUAUAUGGAAGAACACCAGUGGCGAAAGCGGCUCUCUGGUCUGUAACUGACGCUGAGGUUCGAAAGCGUGGGUAGCAAACAGGAUUAGAUACCCGGGUAGUC
Molecule: ribosomal RNA, 465 nt
Filed under: uncultured bacterium
Lineage: Bacteria
Description: partial 16S ribosomal RNA
Rfam family: Bacterial small subunit ribosomal RNA
Source: RNAcentral